AUGGACGACACGAAUUACUUCGGAGGAAAUACGUUGGAUAGGUCGAGCGAAUUAAGGACGAACUUAACAAUGCUAGCAAAUAUGAUAUCCAGUGAGAAUGCUAAGUUCUUGGUUUUUAAACGUUGUAAUCCACUGGUUGAAAACAUUGGUGAGGAAUUGAAGUUAUGUGUGUUUAACUAUCAAGACGUGAAUGCCCUAUUAUUGGAUCUUGUAGAUGGUGAUAUAGACACUUUGAAAUCACGUUGGCCAGUUAAUUUAGUGUUUCUUGGGAAAGAACGAAAUGAUGCGAAAGCCUUUUGGUUUGCGUUUAAUACAGAAAAUGAAAGCAAGUCUAUUAUGACGUCAUCACGCGUGUUUGCUCACCAACGGUAUGAUCUUUUCCGUUUGCGCGUAGAACACGCUUCAAUUGUCAGUCAGGCGAAAUCUCUUUUUCAUUGGUUAGAUCGUUAUCGCUUUUGUGCAACAUGCGGAAAGAAAAUGAUAACCGAAGAAGCAGGGUAUAAACGUACUUGUCUCGAUAAUGCGUGUAGAAGUAAUCGAGGCGUACACAACACGUGUUAUCCGCGCACAGAUCCUACCGCCAUCAUGUGUGUCGUGUCUUCAGAUGGCGAGAGAUUUUUGCUGGGAAGGAAGAAAGUUUUCCCUCCCAAAAUGUAUUCAUGUCUUGCUGGCUUCAUUGAACCUGGUGAGACAGCGGAGGAUGCUGUGGUCCGUGAAACAAAGGAGGAGAGUGGCAUUGAUGUGACAGAUGUUACGUAUGUUUCGUCUCAACCCUGGCCAUUCCCUUCCUCGUUGAUGAUAGGUUUCACGGCCGUUGCAACUUCUGAGGAUAUCACCAUAUGCGAAGAAGAGAUGGAGGACGUAAAGUGGUUUCCGAAGACGGAAGUAACUCUGGCUUUACAAAACGAAUCAAAGAUUUUAACGAUUCCACCAAAGCAGGCAAUCGCUCAUCAACUAAUAAAGACGUGUGUCUUAAAAAGUAAAACUAAUAAUAGUCCACCAAAGUUUUUGGUAUUAUGUCAUUGACAUCACACCUCCUUGACGGCGCAUGCGUUGCGGAUACAUCUCUCUCGUUGGGUUUGUUGCGUAACGUUAAAGCCAACUUUCUCCAAAUGAACUUCAAAAAACGAAACCUCGAAUAUCACAGGUAUUUUGCUAACACUUCGCGCGCCGUGAUAAGUGUUCAUCAUUCGAUGGU
RNA transcript from Hydractinia symbiolongicarpus, 1198 nucleotides. It is a transcript of the gene named NAD-capped RNA hydrolase NUDT12-like, with no coding region annotated. The transcript is spliced from 5 exons. The record is from RefSeq and is a predicted model, not a curated record. NCBI's taxonomy places the organism in Eukaryota, Metazoa, Cnidaria, Hydrozoa, Anthoathecata, Hydractiniidae.